GGCUGCAUUGGUACUCCUCAUCUUUGGAAGUAUACAUCAAGUGGACUCCACAUCUUUUCACCUUUAACUUUACUACAUUAAGUUGCAUUGCAUCACCAACAGUAUACCCAUAGUGUUCUGCUUUGAACUCGAACUCAAUCGAAAGCUCGUUGACGUCAGAAUACUUUUGUAUGAGACAACUUUCAAUGUAGUAAUGAUUGUGCCAAAGGAACAC
This 214-nucleotide unclassified non-coding RNA is filed under the name Hevea brasiliensis (rubber tree). Lineage: Eukaryota; Viridiplantae; Streptophyta; Magnoliopsida; Malpighiales; Euphorbiaceae. The record is from RNAcentral.